RNAcentral lists this ribosomal RNA (253 nucleotides) under uncultured bacterium. RNAcentral's name for it is "partial 16S ribosomal RNA". It matches the Rfam family "Bacterial small subunit ribosomal RNA", at positions 524 to 776 of the family's 1533-position model. The record is from RNAcentral.
UACGAAGGGGGCUAGCGUUGCUCGGAAUCACUGGGCGUAAAGCGCACGUAGGCGGAUUGCUAAGUCAGGGGUGAAAUCCUGGAGCUCAACUCCAGAACUGCCUUUGAUACUGGCGACCUUGAGUCCGGGAGAGGUGAGUGGAACUGCGAGUGUAGAGGUGAAAUUCGUAGAUAUUCGCAAGAACACCAGUGGCGAAGGCGGCUCACUGGCCCGGUACUGACGAUGAGGUGCGAAAGCGUGGGGAGCAAACAGG